RNAcentral lists this ribosomal RNA (550 nucleotides) under uncultured eukaryote. Its description in RNAcentral is "SSU rRNA". It matches the Rfam family "Eukaryotic small subunit ribosomal RNA", at positions 4 to 568 of the family's 1831-position model. The record is from RNAcentral.
CUGGUUGAUCCUGCCAGUAGCAUACGCUUGUCUCAAAGAUUAAGCCAUGCAUGUCUAAGUAUAAAACAAAUCUAUACGUGAAACUGCGAAUGGCUCAUUAUAUCAGUUAUAGUUUAUUUGAUGGUCCUUACUACUUGGAUAACCGUAGUAAUUCUAGAGCUAAUACAUGCACCAAAUCCCGACUCACGGAGGGACGUAUUUAUUAGAUGGAAACCAAUGCGGGUUCGCCCCGGAUUCAGGUGAUUCAUAAUAACUUUCGGAUCGGCUUGCCGAUGCAUCAUUCAAGUUUCUGCCCUAUCAGGUCUGGAUGGUAGGGGUAUUGGCCUACCAUGCCUUUAACGGGUAACGGAGAAUUAGGGUUCGAUUCCGGAGAGGGGCCUGAGAAAUGGCCACCACAUCCAAGGAAGGCAGCAGGCGCGUAAUUAACCCAAUCCUGACACAGGGAGGUAGUGACAAUAAAUAACACCGCAGGGCUUUUAAGGUCUUGCGUUAGGAAUGAGAACAAUUUAAACCCCUUAUCGAGGAUCAAUUGGAGGGCAAGUCUGGUGCC